Molecule: ribosomal RNA, 468 nt
Filed under: uncultured bacterium
Lineage: Bacteria
Description: partial 16S ribosomal RNA
Rfam family: Bacterial small subunit ribosomal RNA
Source: RNAcentral
GACGAACGCUGGCGGCGUGCUUAACACAUGCAAGUCGAACGGAAAGGCCCUGCUUUUGUGGGGUGCUCGAGUGGCGAACGGGUGGGUAACACGUGAGUAUCCUGCCCUUGACUGUGGGAUAACUUCAGGAAACAGGGGCUAAUACCGGAUAGGAGCUCCUGCUGCAUGGUGGGGGUUGGAAAGUGUCGGCGGUUGGGGAUGGACUCGCGGCUUAUCAGCUGGUUGGUGUGGUAGUGGCUUACCAAGGCUUUGACGGGUAGCCGGCCUGAGAGGCUGACCGGCGACAUUGGGACUGAGGUACGGCGCAGACGGCUACGGGAGGCAGCGGGGGGGAAUAUUGCACAAUGGGCGGAAGCCUGAUGCAGCGACGCCGCGUGCGGGAUGACGGCCUUCGGGUUGUAAACCGCUUUCGCCUGUGACGAAGCGUGAGUGACGGUAAUGGGUAAAGAAGCACCGGCUAACUACGUG